UCAGAAUGAACGCUAGAAAUAUGCAUAACACAUGCAAGUUGAACGAAUAUAGCUAAUUAUAUAAGUAGCGAACGGGUGCGUAAUAUACAAGAAUUUACCUUUUAAUUUAGGAUAACUGAGUAAUAUUAGCUAAUACUAAAUAUGUUGUGUUAAAAACAAUAAAGAUUAGAUCGUUAAAAGAUAAGCUUGUAUAGGAUUAGGUAGUUGGUAAGGUAAGAGCCUACCAAGCCGAUGAUCCUUAGCUAGUUUGGGAGGACGAGUAGCCACACUGAAACUGAGACAAGGUUCAGACUUCUACGGAAGGCAGCAGUGUGGAAUAUUGGACAAUGAGCGAAAGCUUGAUCCAGCAAUAUUUCGUGUGUGAUCAGAAGAAUAGGAGACUAUUUGUAAAGCACUAUCAGUAAAGACGAAAUUGACUGUAUUUGCAGAAGAAGCUCCGGCAAAUUUCGUGCCAGCAGCCGCGGUAAUACGAAAGGAGCAGGUGUUAUUCAGAUUAACUG
Molecule: ribosomal RNA, 500 nt
Filed under: uncultured bacterium
Lineage: Bacteria
Description: bacterial SSU rRNA
Rfam family: Bacterial small subunit ribosomal RNA
Source: RNAcentral